Molecule: ribosomal RNA, 500 nt
Filed under: uncultured bacterium
Lineage: Bacteria
Description: partial 16S ribosomal RNA
Rfam family: Bacterial small subunit ribosomal RNA
Source: RNAcentral
AUUGAACGCUGGCGGAAUGCUUUACACAUGCAAGUCGAACGGCAGCACGGACUUCGGUCUGGUGGCGAGUGGCGAACGGGUGAGUAAUGUAUCGGAACGUGCCCAGUCGUGGGGGAUAACGUAGUGAAAAUUACGCUAAUACCGCAUACGAUCUAUGGAUGAAAGCGGGGGAUCGCAAGACCUCGCGCGAUUGGAGCGGCCGAUAUCAGAUUAGGUAGUUGGUGGGGUAAAGGCCCACCAGGCCAACGAUCUGUAGCUGGUCUGAGAGGACGACCAGCCACACUGGAACUGAGACACGGUCCAGACUCCUACGGGAGGCAGCAGUGGGGAAUUUUGGACAAUGGGCGAAAGCCUGAUCCGGCCAUUCCGCGUGCAGGAUGAAGGCCCUCGGGUUGUAAACUGCUUUUGUACAGAACGAAAAGGUUUCUGCUAAUACUAGGAGCUCAUGACGGUACUGUAAGAAUAAGCACCGGCUAACUACGUGCCAGCCGCCGCAGUAA